ACAGCAGUAGCCGCGGUAAUACGGAGGGAGCUAGCGUUAUUCGGAAUUACUGGGCGUAAAGCGCACGUAGGCGGCUUUGUAAGUUAGAGGUGAAAGCCUGGAGCUCAACUCCAGAAUUGCCUUUAAGACUGCAGAGCUAGCAGGUGAGAGAGGUGAGUGGAAUUCCGAGUGUAGAGGUGAAAUUCGUAGAUAUUCGGAAGAACACCAGUGGCGAAGGCGGCUCACUGGCUCAUACUGGACGCUGAGGUGCGAAAGCGUGGGGAGCAAACAGGAUUAGAUACCCGAGUAGUCCCUGUCUCUUAUAA
RNAcentral lists this ribosomal RNA (305 nucleotides) under uncultured bacterium. RNAcentral's name for it is "partial 16S ribosomal RNA". It matches the Rfam family "Bacterial small subunit ribosomal RNA", at positions 508 to 809 of the family's 1533-position model. The record is from RNAcentral.